Molecule: long non-coding RNA, 529 nt
Organism: Lutzomyia longipalpis
Lineage: Eukaryota; Metazoa; Arthropoda; Insecta; Diptera; Psychodidae
Exons: 5
Source: RefSeq, a predicted model, not a curated record
UGCAAGAGACUGAAAACAUCCUUCAAAUCUAUCCGGUUUAGGGACUCUAAAUUUUCCUGGGAGAUGUAGCGUCGUCCGUUGACCGGAAGCCCGAUCUAAUACUUCCUCUUAGGACGAUACAAAACAGAACAAUGCAGGAGGGAAGCUUCAAAGACGAUUUAGAUAUUCACAUCCUGUUACUCAAAAUUUCCCGUAUUCCACCCACCCUCAACAGAUUUUACAAGCAAUGUCUACUAUUGAAAUGGACAACACGUCAAACGCUCUUGACCAUCACAAGCAUCCCAUGGCUGAGGAGAAAGGACUUUUUAUCCAUUUGGAAGCGUAGAAAUUGGUCAGGAAACAACCACAAGUGUUACCCCAAAGGAAGGAAACUUCGAUGCAGAAUAUCAUCGAGUGAACACCUUGACGGAUCCCGCAGUGUUCCUCCCUCUUCAAAUACGUCUACAAAUGGAAUUCUAACGAGGGAAGAGACCGUCUCCAGAAAGCAGUUAAGGAAGAAUUAGGCGAAGGACAGCGUUGGUGAGAGAAC